This 358-nucleotide RNase P RNA is filed under the name Spiribacter salilacus. Its description in RNAcentral is "Bacterial RNase P class A". It matches the Rfam family "Bacterial RNase P class A". Rfam says of the family: Ribonuclease P (RNase P) is a ubiquitous endoribonuclease, found in archaea, bacteria and eukarya as well as chloroplasts and mitochondria. The record is from Rfam by way of RNAcentral. Lineage: Bacteria; Pseudomonadati; Pseudomonadota; Gammaproteobacteria; Chromatiales; Ectothiorhodospiraceae.
GAAGUUGGCUGGGCGAUCGCUGCACUCUUUUGGGUGUGGAGGAAAGUCCGGGCUCCACUGGGCAGAGUGCCAGGUAACGCCUGGGCGGCGUGAGCCGACGGAAAGUGCCACAGAGAUCAGACCGCCGAUGGCGUUGCGAUAGCUUCGCACAGGUAAGGGUGAAAAGGUGCGGUAAGAGCGCACCGCGCGCAUGGCAACAUGUCGCGGCACGGUAAACCCCACUCGGAGCAAGACCAAAUAGGGGAGCAGACGUGUGGCCCGCGCGGCUCCCGGGUAGGUCGCUUGAGGUUUGUGGUGACAUAAAUCCAAGAGGAAUGAUCGUCCUCGACAGAACCCGGCUUACAGGCCAACUUCUUUU